Molecule: non-coding RNA, 3344 nt
Organism: Chlorocebus sabaeus (green monkey)
Lineage: Eukaryota; Metazoa; Chordata; Mammalia; Primates; Cercopithecidae
Source: RefSeq, a predicted model, not a curated record
AUCUUAGCAGAGAUGCUCACAUGCGGGGUAACUGUCCAUGGUGUGUGGAGGGGUCCUCGGAACCCCCUCUUAGGAUCAUCUCCACAUACUCUCCCAGUUCUGAGAUUCGUUACCAACAGCAGGUUUCCUUCGCACUGCCGUGUCAGAGCAGCGCGGGAACUCUCCGCUCCGCUGCGAGGGGCUUUCUCCUCCUAGGGAACACCCUGCUAAGUAAUGGACAGAGAACAAAGGGGCUCCUCAUUCAAGGCAGGCCUAAGGGAGGGUCAGAAAGAACUUUAGCUGGAGGUAUUUACCGAUGUGACCUCCAAUCCUUGGGGAUUCUGGGAAAAUGGACAAAGUGCCAAAAGAAGAGAACCUAGAGAAUUACAGACAGUGAACUUGCCCCUAAGCCCUCAUUGAGGGGUGUGUUUGAGCAUUUAGGAGAGGACUCCAGUGCUCCUCAACGACAAACACAGCUGCCUUUGUGGUGUCUGAAGGCCCUGGUCAUGGUAACACUAGAUGGCUGCCCUGGGCGCCUCCUGUGGGUGUAGAGGCAUCACCACUCUGCACUGGCAGACUCAGCAUGGAGUCGGAGCAGAGUCUGACACGAGCACUUGCCAUCCCAGGCAUUUCAGUUCUGACUGAGAAGGGAGCCGCACAGGGGAGGAGAGGGCCCUUUGGAGCUCCACUCUGCCUCCACCACUCCCUAACCCCUCAGCCUCAGUGCCCUCAUCUGUAAAAUGGGGAGUUUUGCCUACAGAGUUCAGCACAGUGCCAGCCUGACAUGGGAACCCCAGUGGAUUAUCAGUUUUGUCAUCAUUCCCCUGCAUCCUGGAGGUGACACCGCCUGGUUAAUAGGCAUCCCCUCCGGAUGGCCCAGCACAGCUGCAGAGCAGCAGGAGGCUGGCCUGUGGCCAAGAAUGCACGGUGGAGGAGGGCUGGAGGGGGACUGCAGCUCCUCCUCUUCCUGCUUCCUCCCUGCUCCACCCCCUGCCUCGGGCAGCACAAAAGCAAAUCUCUGGCUAACUCCCUGCCUAGCAAGGCCCAGCCUGGGGCAGAAAUGGCUGCAAGUGGCCGAGGUCUCUGCAGGGCUGUGGCUGCCUCUCCCUUCCCAGCUUGGAGACGAGCUCACACAGAAGCCGGGGGAGGUCUGAAGCCUGAGUAUGAUGCGGUGGUGAUAGGAGCAGGACACAACGGACUGGUGGCUGUGAGUACCUCCCCAGUUGAUCCCACUUCACUGGCCCCUGGGCAUGUGGCUCUCAGCAGCCUGGGAAGGAGAGUGAAGAAGCAGGCAGCGUACCUGCAGAGACUGGGGGUGAACACCGCGGUCUUCGAGAGGCGCCAUGUGAUCGGGGGUGCAGCUGUCACUGAGGAGAUCGUCCCAGGGUUUAAGUUCUCCCGCGCGUCCUACCUGCUCAGCCUCCUGAGGCCGCAGAUUUACAAUGAUCUGGAGCUGAAGAAACAUGGGCUGAGGCUUCAUCUUCGAAACCCCUACUCCUUCACCCCCAUGCUGGAAGAGGGUGCAGGCAGCAAGGUGCCCAGGUCCCUUCUGCUGGGCACAGACAUGGCAGAAAACCAGAAGCAGAUUGCCCAGUUCUCCCGGAAGGAUGCCCAGGUCUUUCCCAGAUACGAGGAGUUCAUGCAUCGCUUGGCAUUAGCCAUUGACCCUCUGCUGGAUGCGGCCCCUGUGGACAUGGCGGCCUUCCAGCGUGGCUCUCUGCUGCAAAGGAUCAAGUCGCUGUCCACCCUCAAGCCCCUGCUGAAGGCAGGCCGCAUCCUAGGAGCCCAGCUUCCCCAAUAUUAUGAGGUCCUCACAGCUCCCAUUACCAAGGUGCUGGAUCAGUGGUUUGAGUCUGAGCCUCUAAAAGCCACUCUGGCCACAGAUGCUGUGAUUGGAGCCAUGGCAAGUCCCUGCACUCCAGGGAGUGGGUAUGUGCUGCUGCAUCAUGUGAUGGGGGGCCUGGAGGGGAUGCAGGGGGCCUGGGGCUACGUCCAGGGGGGCAUGGGUGCCCUCUCUGAUGCCAUCGCAAGCUCAGCCACCACCCAUGGAGCAAGCAUCUUCACUGAAAAGACAGUGGCGAAGGUGCAGGUGAACAGUGAAGGCUGUGUUCAAGGAGUUGUGCUAGAAGAUGGCACAGAAGUGAGAAGCAAGGUGGUGCUGUCCAACACAUCACCACAGAUCACCUUCCUGAAGCUGACACCACAGGAUGAAGAGGAUUUCCAGAGGGAGCAACUGAGGGAUCUUCCUGAGCAAAGAAAGAAGGCAGCUUCCUUGGGGCCUUGGACGUCUGGGGGCUUUCAUGGAGGCUUCUCCUUCCAGGAGUGGCUUCCUAAGGAGUUCCUGGAGAAAAUCUCUCAGCUGGACACCCGGUCGCCUGUCACCAAGAUCAAUGUGGCCAUAGACAGGCUGCCCAGCUUCCUAGCAGCCCCCAAUGGCCCCAGGGACCAGCCGCUGCCCCAUCACCAGUGCUCCAUCCACCUGAACUGUGAAGACACCCUCCUCCUUCAUCAGGCCUUUGAAGAUGCCGUGGACGGCCUGCCUUCCCACAGGCCUAUGAUUGAGCUCUGCAUCCCUUCUGCGCUGGACCCCACCCUGGCUCCCUCCGGCUGCCACGUAGUCUCUCUCUUCACUCAGUACACGCCCUACACACUGGCUGGAGGCAAGGCCUGGGACGAGCAGGAGAGAGACGCUUAUGCAGACAGAGUGUUUGAUUGCAUCGAGGUCUAUGCCCCUGGCUUCAAGGACUCUGUGGUUGGCAGAGACAUCCUCACACCACCAGAUUUGGAGAGAAUCUUCGGGCUUCCUGGAGGGAACCCAAGAAAAUAUCCCGGAAGGAGAAGAACUUUUGCUGGAGAACAGGGGAGGGGAAGAAACCCUGCCAGGACAGGAAAGGCUGUAACGCUCCCGUGCUAAUGGCUGUGGCCCUGCCUCUGCAGAACAUAUUCCACUGUGCCAUGUCCCUGGACCAGCUCUACUUUGCCCGUCCUGUGCCCCUGCAUUCUGGCUACCGCUGCCCUCUCCAGGGCCUGUAUCUCUGUGGAAGUGGGGCUCAUCCUGGAGGAGGUGUGAUGGGAGCUGCUGGGCGAAAUGCAGCACAUGCGGCCUUUAGGGACCUCAAGAGCAAGUGACCCCGAAUCAGCUCUGACCCAGGAAGAAGACUUCACCCCUCAAUUCCAAGCGCUCCAUUGGGUCAGCUUCCCGGGAAGCUCAGCUUCGCGUUAGUACUUAAUGCCACCAAGUCCUCAAUGCUCAAGCUAUUAUUUUAGAAAAAAUGUACGAGUUACAUUUAGUGCAAGUUAACCUUAUGCCCGUGCCUCCAUACACGGACUGGUUCUGUUUUAUUAAAACUAAUAUUUCAUACAGA